CUCUGGUGUACCAGUUGUCCUGCCAAGGGCAUGGCUGGGUAGCUAUGUACGGAAUGGAUAAGCGCUGAAAGCAUCUAAGCGCGAAGCCAACUUCAAGAUAAGAUUUCCCACCGCAAGGGUAAGACCCAAGAAAGACUAUCUGGUUGAUAGGUCGAAGGUGUAAGUGCAGUAAUGUAUUUAGCUUAUCGAUACUAAUAGGUCGAGGACUUGACCAA
This 215-nucleotide ribosomal RNA is filed under the name Clostridioides difficile. RNAcentral's name for it is "partial 23S ribosomal RNA". It matches the Rfam family "Bacterial large subunit ribosomal RNA", at positions 2707 to 2925 of the family's 2925-position model. Lineage: Bacteria; Bacillati; Bacillota; Clostridia; Peptostreptococcales; Peptostreptococcaceae. The record is from RNAcentral.